UACGGAGGGGGCGAGCGUUAAUCGGAAUUACUGGGCGUAAAGCGUGCGCAGGCGGUCUGGUAAGACCGAUGUGAAAUCCCCGGGCUUAACCUGGGAACUGCAUUGGUGACUGGCAGGCUUUGAGUGUGGCAGAGGGAGGUAGAAUUCCACGUGUAGCAGUGAAAUGCGUAGAGAUGUGGAGGAAUACCGAUGGCGAAGGCAGCCUCCUGGGCCAACACUGACGCUCAUGCACGAAAGCGUGGGGAGCAAACAGG
This 254-nucleotide ribosomal RNA is filed under the name uncultured bacterium. RNAcentral's name for it is "partial 16S ribosomal RNA". It matches the Rfam family "Bacterial small subunit ribosomal RNA", at positions 524 to 776 of the family's 1533-position model. The record is from RNAcentral.